GGUUAGGCGCGCUCCAUAUCCUGCUCCAAAUCCUAUUAUGACCCGACUAUAUUUAUACGCAGUUAUGUAAUUUGUUUUCCAAAACCCUAGAGAACCAUCUCCGUUUUCCUUCAUCUCCAUCUCCAUUCUGGUUCAAAGGAUCAAGCAUGAGGGUUUCACCGUCUUCUCCCUCUCUUCGCAUCGCCUCUCAAACAUCUUCAUCCAAGAUUGGAUCACCGAUGAUAGCAGAUUCUCUACAAACACAAAUCAGUUGUUGAUAAACAAUGAAUUUUAGGGAUAAUAAUAAAGAUGAAAGGUCCGAUAGAGAUCUUUGAAACCGUUUCUUCGUACCGGCAGUUGGUACCGUAUCACAAUUUAGUUGAGACAUUGAUAAAAAGAUAAAUUUGUUUCAUCUGAUGUAUUAUUUUUUGUUUAUAUGUGAGCAGGUUGUUCGUUUCUUUUCAGUGUAUCUUUUGUUUUGAUGCUGAAGUUAAUAGAUUUGAUUAUGAUCGUUAUAAAUUUUUGCAAUGUAUCAAGUCAUAUUGGUUCAGCACCUGUUUCUUCAAGGUUUUCAUUGAUCCCACUUCUUAACUGCAUUAGGCUGCUUUAUCAAGUCCACCUUUCUAAUGCCAAGAAAUCAUCUGCCACAACUGAAAUCAAACACAAGUUGGAUAAUGACAGCGGCAAGGACAUUUUUAAGUUGGGGAGAAAAGAUCUUCUUCUGAAAGUGAAGGGAACCAAAACAAAACAAUAAUUGGUGUUGGUAUUUGCCUUAUUUUUUAAAUUUUGGUAUAUUGACCGAUGAGAGCGUGAAAAGAGAGACCGGAUUGAUGCAAACGUUGUCGUAUUGUUGCAGAGUACAGCACUAUAGUGUUGCUAACAAUGGCAAACUUCAGGGGUUUAAUUUUGAUUAUUAAGACUGGGAGAUGAAGGUGAUUAUGCAUAUACCACUACUGUGAGGUACUUUUUUUGUUU
This is a long non-coding RNA of Helianthus annuus (common sunflower), 954 nucleotides long. RefSeq lists it as uncharacterized. Lineage: Eukaryota; Viridiplantae; Streptophyta; Magnoliopsida; Asterales; Asteraceae. The transcript has 7 exons. The record is from RefSeq and is a predicted model, not a curated record.